GCUCUUCUGAUUCUGGAUGUGGGCUACAGUUGUGUGAUCACGCCCACAUAUCACAGUUUCGAUGACUGUGUCUUCAAAUAUGUUUUUCUGCUGCUGAUGAACCGAGGAGGAAAUGUGUGAUUUGAAGACUGCAGAUCUGGAAGUUUUCCUGCACUGAUCCCUGAACAUAAUUUGACACAGUGGGAAUAUGACAGCUGACUUUUCAUCACUGAAGAGAAAUUGAGACAAAGAUGAAAUCACCUGCCAACAGUACAAUGUCCUCCACAGAGUGGAGCAGCUUCUGAGACAGCCUGAAAGCAGGUGUGGAGUCAAAGGUGACCGAGCAGUUCUCCAGUGGAGAGGAAAAAUGGAAAAACAACAAAAAAUGUCUCCUUCAGUUUUUCCAAGAAAGGUCCAUUCUUGAAGGAACAACUAAAUUGUGAUCCCCAUCUGGCAGCCUAUGAAAUCCAGAGUUCCAACAACAAGGUGCCAUCUGUUGCUUCUUACUGGAAAUUUGAGUAGCAGCAACAGUUAAUUUGUUGCUUAUGUUUAUU
Alosa sapidissima (American shad) is the source of this 533-nucleotide long non-coding RNA. RefSeq lists it as uncharacterized. The transcript is spliced from 4 exons. The record is from RefSeq and is a predicted model, not a curated record. NCBI's taxonomy places the organism in Eukaryota, Metazoa, Chordata, Actinopteri, Clupeiformes, Clupeidae.